Molecule: ribosomal RNA, 481 nt
Filed under: uncultured bacterium
Lineage: Bacteria
Description: bacterial SSU rRNA
Rfam family: Bacterial small subunit ribosomal RNA
Source: RNAcentral
UAUAGACGCUGGCGGCAUGCCUUAACAUGCAAGUCGAACGGUAACAGGUCUUCGGAUGCUGACGAGUGGCGAACGGGUGAGUAAUACAUCGGAACGUGCCCGAGUCGUGGGGAUAACGGAGCGAAAGCUUUGCUAAUACCGCAUACGAUCUACGGAUGAAAGCAGGGGACCGCAAGGCCUUGCGCGGACGGAGCGGCCGAUGGCAGAUUAGGUAGUUGGUGGGAUAAAAGCUUACCAAGCCGACGAUCUGUAGCUGGUCUGAGAGGACGACCAGCCACACUGGGACUGAGACACGGCCCAGACUCCUACGGGAGGCAGCAGUGGGGAAUUUUGGACAAUGGGCGCAAGCCUGAUCCAGCCAUGCCGCGUGCAGGAUGAAGGCCUUCGGGUUGUAAACUGCUUUUGUACGGAACGAAAAGACUCUUUCUAAUAAAGAGGGUCCAUGACGGUACCGUAAGAAUAAGCACCGGCUAACUACGUG